UAAUACGUGCUAGUCUCAAAGAUUAAGCCAUGCAUGUCUAAGUUUAAGCUACCAAACGGUGAAACUGCGAACGGCUCAUUAUAUCAGUUAUAGUUUCUUUGAUAGUCCCUUCUACACGGAAUAACCGUAGUAAUUCUAGAGCUAAUACGUGCUUCAAGUCCCUCGCAAGGGGGAUGUAUUUAUUAGAUCCAACCAGCCUCGUCUCGGUGAAUCAUAGUAACUGAUCGGAUCGCGGCAACGCGACGGUUCAUUCAAGUUUCUGCCCUAUCAGCUAUCAAUCGCAGGGUAUUGGCCUGCGAUGGCAUUGACGGAUAACGGAGAAUUGGGGUUCGAUUCCGGAGAGGGAGCCUGAGAGAUGGCUACCACUUCUAAGGAAGGCAGCAGGCGCGCAAAUUGCCCACUCCUGACACAGGGAGGCAGUGACAAGAAAUAACAAUACUGAGCUUUUUUAGUUUGGUAAUUGUAAUGAGUACAAUGUAAAUCUCUUAACGAGAACCAAUU
This 501-nucleotide ribosomal RNA is filed under the name uncultured eukaryote. RNAcentral's name for it is "bacterial SSU rRNA". It matches the Rfam family "Eukaryotic small subunit ribosomal RNA", at positions 29 to 549 of the family's 1831-position model. The record is from RNAcentral.